Molecule: long non-coding RNA, 319 nt
Filed under: Nicotiana benthamiana
Lineage: Eukaryota; Viridiplantae; Streptophyta; Magnoliopsida; Solanales; Solanaceae
Description: long non-coding RNA (NBEN_LNC005200)
Source: RNAcentral
UGAAUUUAGCGACAAAUAUUUCUAAUAUAGCGACGGCAAUUAUGUCGAUAAUAUUGCGACAAAUUUCAUUUAUCCUUCGCGAAGAGCUUAGCAACGAGUAGAUCAGAAGCAAAUGGUAAUCCGUUGUUAAUCCUGCUUAGCAAUGAAAAAAAGCUAAUUCGCGGUGGAAUUCGUCCGAUGUUAAGUGUUGUUUUUUUGUAGUGUCCACCUCUAGCUAGUUAAGCAGGUGGCUAAGUAACUUGAGCAUAAGUCGAGGGCUGACCCGUCAGUUGAGAUUGACUAUUAUGAAGACGAGGACACUGCCUCCUCAUAUGCCCUA